RNAcentral lists this ribosomal RNA (460 nucleotides) under uncultured bacterium. RNAcentral's name for it is "partial 16S ribosomal RNA". It matches the Rfam family "Bacterial small subunit ribosomal RNA", at positions 338 to 795 of the family's 1533-position model. The record is from RNAcentral.
CCUACGGGAGGCAGCAGUGAGGAAUAUUGGUCAAUGGACGAGAGUCUGAACCAGCCAAGUAGCGUGAAGGAUGACUGCCCUAUGGGUUGUAAACUUCUUUUAUAUGGGAAUAAAAUGUUCCACGUGUGGGAUUUUGUAUGUACCAUAUGAAUAAGGAACGGCUAACUCCGUGCCAGCAGCCGCGGUAAUACGGAGGAUCCGAGCGUUAUCCGGAUUUAUUGGGUUUAAAGGGAGCGUAGGUGGAUUGUUAAGUCAGUUGUGAAAGUUUGCGGCUCAACCGUAAAAUUGCAGUUGAAACUGGCAGUCUUGAGUACAGUAGAGGUGGGCGGAAUUCGUGGGGUAGCGGUGAAAUGCUUAGAUAUCACGAAGAACUCCGAUUGCGAAGGCAGUUCACUGGACUGCAACUGACACUGAGGCUCGAAAGUGUGGGUAUCAAACAGGAUUAGAUACCCGUGUAGUC